CAGUAGCCGCGGGAAAACGGAGGGUGCAAGCGUUAAUCGGAAUUACUGGGCGUAAAGCGUGCGUAGGCGGUUCGUUAAGUCUGUUGUGAAAGCCCCGGGCUCAACCUGGGAAUGGCAAUGGAUACUGGCGAGCUAGAGUGUGUCAGAGGAUGGUGGAAUUCCCGGUGUAGCGGUGAAAUGCGUAGAGAUCGGGAGGAACAUCAGUGGCGAAGGCGGCCAUCUGGGACAACACUGACGCUGAGGCACGAAAGCGUGGGGAGCAAACAGGAUUAGAUACCCGCGUAGUCCCUGUCUCUUAUAC
RNAcentral lists this ribosomal RNA (301 nucleotides) under uncultured bacterium. RNAcentral's name for it is "partial 16S ribosomal RNA". It matches the Rfam family "Bacterial small subunit ribosomal RNA", at positions 509 to 807 of the family's 1533-position model. The record is from RNAcentral.